RNAcentral lists this ribosomal RNA (587 nucleotides) under Vibrio parahaemolyticus. RNAcentral's name for it is "partial 23S ribosomal RNA". It matches the Rfam family "Bacterial large subunit ribosomal RNA", at positions 2200 to 2786 of the family's 2925-position model. The record is from RNAcentral. Lineage: Bacteria; Pseudomonadati; Pseudomonadota; Gammaproteobacteria; Vibrionales; Vibrionaceae.
CCACCCUUGUAGUGUUGAUGUUCUAACGUCGACCCCUUAUCGGGGUUGCGGACAGUGCCUGGUGGGUAGUUUGACUGGGGCGGUCUCCUCCCAAAGAGUAACGGAGGAGCACGAAGGUGGGCUAAUCACGGUUGGACAUCGUGAGGUUAGUGCAAUGGCAUAAGCCCGCUUGACUGCGAGAAUGACAAUUCGAGCAGGUGCGAAAGCAGGUCAUAGUGAUCCGGUGGUUCUGAAUGGAAGGGCCAUCGCUCAACGGAUAAAAGGUACUCCGGGGAUAACAGGCUGAUACCGCCCAAGAGUUCAUAUCGACGGCGGUGUUUGGCACCUCGAUGUCGGCUCAUCACAUCCUGGGGCUGAAGUCGGUCCCAAGGGUAUGGCUGUUCGCCAUUUAAAGUGGUACGCGAGCUGGGUUUAGAACGUCGUGAGACAGUUCGGUCCCUAUCUGCCGUGGGCGUUGGAAGAUUGAAGGGGGCUGCUCCUAGUACGAGAGGACCGGAGUGGACGAACCUCUGGUGUUCGGGUUGUGUCGCCAGACGCAUUGCCCGGUAGCUAAGUUCGGAAUCGAUAACCGCUGAAAGCAUCUAAGC